This 1220-nucleotide ribosomal RNA is filed under the name metagenome. RNAcentral's name for it is "bacterial SSU rRNA". It matches the Rfam family "Bacterial small subunit ribosomal RNA", at positions 8 to 1219 of the family's 1533-position model. The record is from RNAcentral.
AGAGUUUGAUCCUGGCUCAGGAUGAACGCUAGCUACAGGCUUAACACAUGCAAGUCGAGGGGAAACGAUAUUGGAAGCUUGCUUCCGAUAGGCGUCGACCGGCGCACGGGUGAGUAACGCGUAUCCAACCUGCCCACCACUUAGGGAUAACCUUGCGAAAGUAAGACUAAUACCCAAUGAUAUCUCUAGAAGACAUCUGAAAGAGAUUAAAGAUUUAUCGGUGAUGGAUGGGGAUGCGUCUGAUUAGCUUGUUGGCGGGGUAACGGCCCACCAAGGCAACGAUCAGUAGGGGUUCUGAGAGGAAGGUCCCCCACAUUGGAACUGAGACACGGUCCAAACUCCUACGGGAGGCAGCAGUGAGGAAUAUUGGUCAAUGGACGAGAGUCUGAACCAGCCAAGUAGCGUGCAGGAAGACGGCCCUAUGGGUUGUAAACUGCUUUUAUAAGGGAAUAAAGUGAGAGUCGUGACUCUUUUUGCAUGUACCUUAUGAAUAAGGACCGGCUAAUUCCGUGCCAGCAGCCGCGGUAAUACGGAAGGUCCGGGCGUUAUCCGGAUUUAUUGGGUUUAAAGGGAGCGUAGGCCGGAGAUUAAGCGUGUUGUGAAAUGUAGACGCUCAACGUCUGCACUGCAGCGCGAACUGGUUUCCUUGAGUACGCACAAAGUGGGCGGAAUUCGUGGUGUAGCGGUGAAAUGCUUAGAUAUAACGAAGAACUCCGAUUGCGAAGGCAGCUCACUGGAGCGCAACUGACGCUGAAGCUCGAAAGUGCGGGUAUCGAACAGGAUUAGAUACCCUGGUAGUCCGCACGGUAAACGAUGGAUGCCCGCUGUUGGUCUGAAUAGGUCAGCGGCCAAGCGAAAGCAUUAAGCAUCCCACCUGGGGAGUACGCCGGCAACGGUGAAACUCAAAGGAAUUGACGGGGGCCCGCACAAGCGGAGGAACAUGUGGUUUAAUUCGAUGAUACGCGAGGAACCUUACCCGGGCUUGAAUUGCAGAGGAAGGAUUUGGAGACAAUGACGCCCUUCGGGGCCUCUGUGAAGGUGCUGCAUGGUUGUCGUCAGCUCGUGCCGUGAGGUGUCGGCUUAAGUGCCAUAACGAGCGCAACCCCUCUCCUUAGUUGCCAUCAGGUUAAGCUGGGCACUCUGGGGACACUGCCACCGUAAGGUGUGAGGAAGGUGGGGAUGACGUCAAAUCAGCACGGCCCUUACGUCCGGGGCUACAC